GCCAGCAGCCAUAUCACCCUGCAAUUCACAACUCACAACUGGCAACCCACUGAAGCUAAGCAGGUGUGAGCCUGGUCAGUACCUGGAUGGGAGACCUCCUGGGAAAAACUAAGGCCGCUACUGGAA
RNAcentral lists this ribosomal RNA (126 nucleotides) under Lepisosteus oculatus (spotted gar). The record is from RNAcentral. Lineage: Eukaryota; Metazoa; Chordata; Actinopteri; Semionotiformes; Lepisosteidae.